UACGUAGGGUGCGAGCGUUGUCCGGAAUCAUUGGGCGUAAAGCGCGUGUAGGCGGCUUGGUAAGUCCGGUGUGAAACCUUGGGGCUCAACCCCAAGCCUGCACUGGAUACUGCCUCGCUUGAGUCCGGGAGGGGAGAGCGGAAUUCCUAGUGUAGCGGUGAAAUGCGCAGAUAUCAGGAGGAACACCGGUGGCGAAGGCGGGUCUCUGGGCCGAUACUGACGCUGAGGAGCGAAAGCGUGGGGAGCGAACAGG
RNAcentral lists this ribosomal RNA (253 nucleotides) under uncultured bacterium. RNAcentral's name for it is "partial 16S ribosomal RNA". It matches the Rfam family "Bacterial small subunit ribosomal RNA", at positions 524 to 776 of the family's 1533-position model. The record is from RNAcentral.